UACGGGGGGGGCAAGCGUUGUUCGGAAUUACUGGGCGUAAAGGGCUCGUAGGCGGCCAACUAAGUCGGAUGUGAAAUCCCCAGGCUUAACCUGGGAACUGCAUCCGAUACUGGAUGGCUUGAAUCCGGGAGAGGGAUGCAGAAUUCCAGGUGUAGCGGUGAAAUGCAUAGAUAUCUGGAGGAAUACCGGUGGCGAAGGCGGCAUCCUGGACCGGCAUUGACGCUGAACAGCGAAAGCUAGGGGAGCAAACGGG
RNAcentral lists this ribosomal RNA (253 nucleotides) under uncultured bacterium. RNAcentral's name for it is "partial 16S ribosomal RNA". It matches the Rfam family "Bacterial small subunit ribosomal RNA", at positions 524 to 776 of the family's 1533-position model. The record is from RNAcentral.